Molecule: small nuclear RNA, 137 nt
Filed under: Tupaia belangeri (northern tree shrew)
Lineage: Eukaryota; Metazoa; Chordata; Mammalia; Scandentia; Tupaiidae
Description: U4 spliceosomal RNA (ENSTBEG00000020269.1)
Rfam family: U4 spliceosomal RNA (bases 1-67)
Source: RNAcentral
NNCUUUGCGCAGUGGCAGUAUUGUAGCCAAUGAGGUUUAUCCGAGGCGCGAUUACUGCUAAUUGAUAGGUUGGACGAUAGUGAUAAAAGAGAAAGCAGGGAAUCACACCCUUUAUUUAACAGAGGCCCAUCUGUGGG